Molecule: long non-coding RNA, 513 nt
Organism: Rhineura floridana
Lineage: Eukaryota; Metazoa; Chordata; Lepidosauria; Squamata; Rhineuridae
Exons: 3
Source: RefSeq, a predicted model, not a curated record
CGGAAGUCAGCCAGUUGCAGCCAACAGGUCUUGAGGCUGCAGGAACCUGAGACACCGUGGCACUUACAGGCGACGUCAGCCAACUUGUACACUGCCUAUGGAAGGGAAAAGUCAAGGUGGCAUCAGACAAAGGGUUUCAUCCGCACCAAAAUUUGGCAUCAUGAGCUUGGGACAACAAAUAAGGUUCCCCCGUUUAUCCUCACAACAACCCUGUAAGUAUUAAGGCCCUGCCUGGAAGCACCCUAGAAAGGACUGGGUCUGGUCAGUGCCUAGACUGGAAAAUCCUGGGAAUCCUACAUACACCACGUUGAGGUCCAUCAUGGAACUAAUGUCAGGUAUGUAAGGGGAAGGGCCGUAGCUCAGUGGAAGAGCAUCUGCUUUGCACAUAAAAAAUCCCAGGUUCAGUCCCCAGCAUCUCCAGGUAGGGUUGGGAGAGAAUACCUUCCUGAAAUCCUGGAGAGCCUCUGCCAGUCAGUGUCGACCACUGCUCUGCAACCUUGGGUCUCCAGAUAU